This is a long non-coding RNA of Solea senegalensis (Senegalese sole), 255 nucleotides long. RefSeq lists it as uncharacterized. The transcript is spliced from 3 exons. Lineage: Eukaryota; Metazoa; Chordata; Actinopteri; Pleuronectiformes; Soleidae. The record is from RefSeq and is a predicted model, not a curated record.
GAACCCACGCCACUCCUUCCAGUUCCAGGUUUCCACAGAUGCAGCUCCAGUCGUACGAGGAGACGUCCAGACCUUCACCAUCGGAGUCCUGCCUCAGAUCCCAGGGUUCCCUCAGCUCGACCCAGACUCUGACCUCCAGAUCACAGCUCUGGAGGAUCGUGUGACAGAAAUAACACCGUCAGCUCUGUCCUUCAUCGACUCUGACACUCCCAGUGAGAAGCUCAUCUACAACAUCACCAAACCACUGCCACCAGG